AAUGAACGUUGGCGGCGUGGAUUAGGCAUGCAAGUCGAGCGAGAAUCUGUCUGUUGAAGCUUCGGUGGAUUCAGUCAGAGGACAGCGGCAAACGGCGUAGUAAUACGUAGGUACGUACCCUCAGGUUGGGGAUAGCCACGGGAAACUGUGGGUAAUACCCAAUAAUAUCUGCGGAUCAAAGGUGUGAUUCCGCCUGAGGAGCGGCUUACGUGAUAUUAGCUUGAUGGUGGGGUAAUGGCCUACCAUGGCAACGAUGUCUCGGGGGUGUGAGAGCAUGGCCCCCACGACCGGAACUGAGAUACUGUCCGGACACCUACGGGUGGCUGCAGUCGAGAAUCUUCCGCAAUGGGCGAAAGCCUGACGGAGCGACGCCGCGUGCGGGAUGAAGGCCCUUGGGUUGUAAACCGCUGUCAGAGGGGAUGAAAUCAUGGUUGGUUAUCCUUCCAUGUUGACAGAGCCUCAAAGGAAGCACGGGCUAAGUACGUGCCAGCAGCCGCGGUAACACGUACUGUGCGAACGUUAUUCGGAAUCACUGGGCUUAAAGGGUGCGUAGGCGGCUUAUCAAGUCAGAUGUGAAAUGCCUGAGCUCAACCGAGGCACUGCGUUUGAAACUGAUAGGCUUGAGUAUUCCAGGGGUAUGCGGAACUGCCAGUGGAGCGGUGAAAUGCGUUGAUAUUGGCAGGAACACCGGUGGCGAAGGCGGCAUACUGGGGGAUAACUGACGCUGAGGCACGAAAGCCAGGGUAGCGAACGGGAUUAGAUACCCCGGUAGUCCUGGCUGUAAACGAUGAGUACUGGGCGGGAGGAAGUUCGCUUUUUCCUGCCGUAGGGAAACCAUUAAGUACUCCGCCUGGAGAGUAUGGUCGCAAGGCUG
RNAcentral lists this ribosomal RNA (874 nucleotides) under uncultured bacterium. RNAcentral describes it as "bacterial SSU rRNA". It matches the Rfam family "Bacterial small subunit ribosomal RNA", at positions 28 to 896 of the family's 1533-position model. The record is from RNAcentral.